RNAcentral lists this ribosomal RNA (285 nucleotides) under uncultured bacterium. RNAcentral's name for it is "partial 16S ribosomal RNA". It matches the Rfam family "Bacterial small subunit ribosomal RNA", at positions 524 to 794 of the family's 1533-position model. The record is from RNAcentral.
UACGGAGGGCGUAGCGUUGUUCGGUAAGUUAACUUGGCGGUAAGACGCACGUAGGCGGCGAUCUAAGACCACGAUGUGAAGGACCCCGGGCCGUCAACCUACGGGAACGUAGCGUUUGGUAACGUACAAGACUAGAGUGUGUCAGAGGGGGUGGAAGUUCCGCGUGUAGCAGUGAAAUGCGUAGAGAUGCGGAGGAACACCGAUGGCGAAGGCAGCCCCUCGGGAUAACACUGACGCUCAUGCACGAAAGCGUGGGGAGCAAACAGGAUUAGAUACCCCGGUAGU